Molecule: unclassified non-coding RNA, 395 nt
Filed under: soil metagenome
Description: partial contains 5.8S ribosomal RNA, internal transcribed spacer 2, and large subunit ribosomal RNA
Rfam family: 5.8S ribosomal RNA (bases 1-120)
Source: RNAcentral
GAUGAAGAACGUAGCGAAAUGCGAUAAGUAAUGUGAAUUGCAGAAUUCAGUGAAUCAUCGAAUCUUUGAACGCACCUUGCGCCUUUUGGUAUUCCGAAAGGCACACCUGUUUGAGCGUCAUGAAUACCUCAAUCUCCAUCUUUUCUUCGGAUUGAUGGGUGACUUGGAUGUUGAGCCCUGCUGGUAUGCUAUAUCAGCUGGCUUUAAACUUAUUAGCCGGCUCUGUACUGGAUCGGUUUGACUCGACGUGAUAAUAUUAUCGUUGAGGAUGCAUGUCUCAUGCAGCCGGAAAGUAUCAAAGCAGCUUCUAGCUUGCCUGUAGUGCACUUUUACAUUUUAGACCUCAGAUCAGGUGGGACUACCCGCUGAACUUAAGCAUAUCAAUAAGCGGAGGA